Molecule: long non-coding RNA, 452 nt
Organism: Tupaia belangeri chinensis (Chinese tree shrew)
Lineage: Eukaryota; Metazoa; Chordata; Mammalia; Scandentia; Tupaiidae
Exons: 3
Source: RefSeq, a predicted model, not a curated record
CCGCCCGCCCCUGAGCGCGCUCCGGGGCCUUUCCCGCGCUUUCUGAGGGGCAGCGCGUGCGCACUCCGAAGCAAGAGGCGAGGCGGGCGGGGCAGACGCAUGUGCAUAGCACGCCCACUCUUUGCAGGGAGUGCGCAGGCGCAGGGCUGUCCAGGCAGGGCCCACCUGGGAUGCAGAGCGGGGGAAAAGCCAGCUUGCUAAGCUUCCCCACCCACUAGUGGUCUUCCCUCCAAACUCAGCCUAAUGUCCUGAAACCUGUCAGUGGGCCAAACCUUCCAUGCCAUUGGCAGAAAUGUCAUUUACAUGAGACCUCAUGAUCAUUUCCAGCUCUAACCUGUCACCAGAGGGAAAGGCGACGAGUCGGCCCAGAGAGCCCUGGAGCAAAGCAGCGUCGAGGGCCUGCGAGGUACAGGGCACCGUGGGAAGCACCAGCAGCGUCUUCGGACCCAGAA